This 492-nucleotide ribosomal RNA is filed under the name uncultured bacterium. Its description in RNAcentral is "partial 16S ribosomal RNA". It matches the Rfam family "Bacterial small subunit ribosomal RNA", at positions 29 to 507 of the family's 1533-position model. The record is from RNAcentral.
AGUGAACGCUGGCGGUAGGCCUAACACAUGCAAGUCGAACGGCAGCACAGUAAGAGCUUGCUCUUACGGGUGGCGAGUGGCGGACGGGUGAGGAAUACAUCGGAAUCUACUUUUUCGUGGGGGAUGACGUAGGGAAACUUACGCUAAUACCGCAUACGGCCUACGGGUGAAAGCAGGGGAUCUUCGGACCUUGCGCGAUUGAAUGAGCCGAUGUCGGAUUAGCUAGUUGGCGGGGUAAAGGCCCACCAAGGCGACGAUCCGUAGCUGGUCUGAGAGGAUGAUCAGCCACACUGGAACUGAGACACGGUCCAGACUCCUACGGGAGGCAGCAGUGGGGAAUAUUGGACAAUGGGCGCAAGCCUGAUCCAGCCAUACCGCGUGGGUGAAGAAGGCCUUCGGGUUGUAAAGCCCUUUUGUUGGGAAAGAAAAGCAGCAGGUUAAUACCCCGCUGUUCUGACGGUACCCAAAGAAUAAGCACCGGCUAACUUCGUG